CAAAUUCCUCAAUAACCUACACAGCUAAAACCGACGAUGUCGUUUAUUUGCAUUCGUAUAGGUAAACAUUACACCAUUUUGUGCAUGAAAGUUUUGUUAUAUAUUAUACUUGCAGAUAUUAAAAGGUGAUAAUAUGGGCAAAAUCAGUGUAUACGAGCGUGGUCAGAUAGAAAACGCUAUAAGCAUUUCUUCUUCUUUGCGUGUUGGUCAGUGGUAUUUAAAUUUUAGAUUGCUUUCUUCUCUCGGAAAUCACCAAUUUUAAUUGCAAUGUCUUUUAAUUGUUUUUCUAAAUAAUUCACCAUGUCUCCUUUUACUAGUAGCGUUUGAUCG
Cinara cedri is the source of this 330-nucleotide non-coding RNA. The record is from the annotation of a GenBank genome assembly. NCBI's taxonomy places the organism in Eukaryota, Metazoa, Arthropoda, Insecta, Hemiptera, Aphididae.